CUAAGCAUAUCAAUAAGCGGAGGAAAAGAAACCAACAGGGAUUGCCCUAGUAACGGCGAGUGAAGCGGCAACAGCUCAAAUUUGAAAUCUGGCUCUCUUUGGGGGUCCGAGUUGUAAUUUGCAGAGGAUGCUUUGGCAUUGGCGGCGGUCUAAGUUCCUUGGAACAGGACAUCGCAGAGGGUGAGAAUCCCGUACGUGGGCGCCUGCCUUUGCCGUGUAAAGCUCCUUCGACGAGUCGAGUUGUUUGGGAAUGCAGCUCUAAAUGGGAGGUAAAUUUCUUCUAAAGCUAAAUACCGGCCAGAGACCGAUAGCGCACAAGUAGAGUGAUCGAAAGAUGAAAAGUACUUUGGAAAGAGAGUCAAAAAGCACGUGAAAUUGUUGAAAGGGAAGCGCUUGCAGCCAGACUUGCCCGCAGUUGCUCACCUAGGCUUUGGCCUGGGGCACUCUUCUGCGGGCAGGCCAGCAUCAGUUUGGGCGGUUGGAUAAAGGCCUCUGUCACGUAUCUUCCUUCGGGAUGACCUUAUAGGGGAGGCGUAAUGCAACCAGCCCGGACUGAGGUCCGCGCAUCUGCUAGGAUGCUGGCGUAAUGGCUGUAAGCGGCCCGUCUUGAAACACGGACCAAGGAGUCUAACAUCUAUGCGAGUGUUUGGGUGUCAAGCCCGGGCGCGCAAUGAAAGUGAACGGAGGUGGGAACCCUUUGGGUGCACCAUCGACCGAUCCUGAUGUCUUCGGAUGGAUUUGAGUAAGAGCAUAGCUGUUGGGACCCGAAAGAUGGUGAACUAUGCUUGAAUAGGGUGAAGCCAGAGGAAACUCUGGUGGAGGCUCGCAGCGGUUCUGACGUGCAAAUCGAUCGUCAAAUUUGGGCAUAGGGGCGAAAGACUAAUCGAAC
RNAcentral lists this ribosomal RNA (889 nucleotides) under Pseudocamarosporium pinicola. RNAcentral's name for it is "eukaryotic LSU rRNA". It matches the Rfam family "Eukaryotic large subunit ribosomal RNA", at positions 34 to 940 of the family's 3401-position model. The record is from RNAcentral. Lineage: Eukaryota; Fungi; Ascomycota; Dothideomycetes; Pleosporales; Didymosphaeriaceae.